UACAGAGGGGGCAAGCGUUGUUCGGAAUUACUGGGCGUAAAGGGCGCGUAGGCGGCCUGCUAAGUCGGACGUGAAAUCCCCGGGCUCAACCCGGGGACUGCGUCCGAUACUGGAAGGCUUGAAUCCGGGAGAGGGAUGCGGAAUUCCAGGUGUAGCGGUGAAAUGCGUAGAUAUCUGGAGGAACACCGGUGGCGAAGGCGGCAUCCUGGACCGGCAUUGACGCUGGGGCGCGAAAGCCAGGGGAGCAAACGGG
This 253-nucleotide ribosomal RNA is filed under the name uncultured bacterium. RNAcentral describes it as "partial 16S ribosomal RNA". It matches the Rfam family "Bacterial small subunit ribosomal RNA", at positions 524 to 776 of the family's 1533-position model. The record is from RNAcentral.